AGAAUCAACGCUGACGGCGUGCCUAACACAUGCAAGUCGAACGCGAAAGUCCCGCAAGGGAUGAGUAGAGUGGCAAACGGGUGAGUAACACGUGGGUGACCUGCCCUCGAGCGGGGGAUAACGUCCCGAAAGGGACGCUAAUACCGCAUGACAUCCUGCCUUUGAACAGGCGGAGAUCAAAGCUGGGGAUCGCAAGACCUAGCACUCGAAGAGGGGCCCGCGCCUGAUUAGCUAGUUGGUGAGGUAACGGCUCACCAAGGCGACGAUCAGUA
RNAcentral lists this ribosomal RNA (272 nucleotides) under uncultured bacterium. RNAcentral's name for it is "partial small subunit ribosomal RNA". It matches the Rfam family "Bacterial small subunit ribosomal RNA", at positions 26 to 285 of the family's 1533-position model. The record is from RNAcentral.